CUACGGGAUGCUCCAGUGGGGAAUAUUGCACAAUGGAGGAAACUCUGAUGCAGCAACGCCGCGUGGAGGAUGACACUUUUCGGAGCGUAAACUCCUUUUAUAUAGGAAGAAGAUGACGGUACUAUAUGAAUAAGCGCCGGCUAACUCCGUGCCAGCAGCCGCGGUAAUACGGAGGGCGCAAGCGUUACUCGGAAUCACUGGGCGUAAAGAGCGUGUAGGCGGAUUAAAAAGUCAGAAGUGAAAUCCUAUAGCUUAACUAUAGAACUGCUUCUGAAACUCUUAAUCUAGAAUAUGGGAGAGGUAGAUGGAAUUUCUGGUGUAGAGGUAAAAUCCGUAGAGAUCAGAAGGAAUACCGAUUGCGAAGGCGGUCUACUAGAACAUUAUUGACGCUGAGACGCGAAAGCGUGGGGAGCAAACAGGAUUAGAUACCCCCGUAGUC
Molecule: ribosomal RNA, 439 nt
Filed under: uncultured bacterium
Lineage: Bacteria
Description: partial 16S ribosomal RNA
Rfam family: Bacterial small subunit ribosomal RNA
Source: RNAcentral